ACAAGGAAUAGUUUAUAAAAAUUAUAAUUUUGGAGGUUAUAGAUGGGAAUUUCUCUUCCUUG
RNAcentral lists this transfer RNA (62 nucleotides) under Cassidinae sp. ACP-2018. Its description in RNAcentral is "tRNA-Pro". Lineage: Eukaryota; Metazoa; Arthropoda; Insecta; Coleoptera; Chrysomelidae. The record is from RNAcentral.